AGCGAACAUCACACUUGUCACUCCCCAGCCAUUUUCAUAAGUCCCAGGCCAAACCUCGCAAAAUGGUGAGUCUCCGCGCUCUGCUCGUGCUCGCUCUGACGGCGGUGAUGCAGGUGUGCUUCGCCGCCGCGUGGAAUUCGUACGGCGGGCACGACGACGACGGCGGGUACGGCGGUGAAAGGGACGACGGGCACGACGGGUACGACGGCGACCGGGACCAUGGGUACGACGGCGGGUACGACGACGAAGGGCACCGCGGUUGGUAGUUGUCUGGCGCGGCGCUUCUGGCGGCUCCGUGAACAAGAAAUAUAUAGAGGAAGAACCUAG
RNAcentral lists this long non-coding RNA (327 nucleotides) under Penaeus chinensis. RNAcentral describes it as "uncharacterized LOC125036233". Lineage: Eukaryota; Metazoa; Arthropoda; Malacostraca; Decapoda; Penaeidae. The record is from RNAcentral.